This 478-nucleotide ribosomal RNA is filed under the name uncultured bacterium. RNAcentral's name for it is "bacterial SSU rRNA". It matches the Rfam family "Bacterial small subunit ribosomal RNA", at positions 501 to 978 of the family's 1533-position model. The record is from RNAcentral.
CUACGUGCCAGCAGCCGCGGUAAUACGUAGGGUGCGAGCGUUAAUCGGAAUUACUGGGCGUAAAGCGAGCGCAGACGGUUACUUAAGCAGGAUGUGAAAUCCCCGGGCUCAACCUGGGAACUGCGUUCUGAACUGGGUAGCUAGAGUAUGUCAGAGGGGGGUAGAAUUCCACGUGUAGCAGUGAAAUGCGUAGAGAUGUGGAGGAAUACCGAUGGCGAAGGCAGCCCCCUGGGAUAAUACUGACGUUCAUGCUCGAAAGCGUGGGUAGCAAACAGGAUUAGAUACCCUGGUAGUCCACGCCCUAAACGAUGUCGAUUAGCUGUUGGGCAGCUUGACUGCUUAGUAGCGUAGCUAACGCGUGAAAUCGACCGCCUGGGGAGUACGGUCGCAAGAUUAAAACUCAAAGGAAUUGACAGGGACCCGCACAAGCGGUGGAUGAUGUGGAUUAAUUCGAUGCAACGCGAAGAACCUUACCUGG